AGCCUAGCUAGAUCUCUAUGGCUCUGAUGCAAACAUGACUUUAUUUAUAUGGUCCCACUCCAUCUGGGUCUGACUACCGCUGAGUUGACUAUACGCCUCAUCUGUCUGGCAUCGAAUGCAUUUUUCAUUUCCCUCACCUGUUUGCCAUGGGAUAAAAGACAUAUGCCGGGUCUUUUUUUUUACCUGCUCUGAUGGUCUGUUUUUUCUUGUGUGUGAACACAAAGUGAGUAAUUGAUCUGCCCGAAGCUGCUGUGGGCCUUGUGUUCCCCUGAGCAUUGAGCUCCCCUGCAAUUCCUAACUGGUGUCCUGUUUGUUCAACGAUGGAAACAGAAACAUUCCACUGCAGAUUAAGUGUUUCAGAGAUGGCAAGGGCUGCUUAAAUUAUCAGGACUUGGAUUUCAUUUGCUCCUCAUAAAUUGUUAUUGUGUCGUUAAAUCCCCAUAUUGAAAUUACUGGUGCAUAAUUUAUCAUCCUAAUUAAUUAUUUUGUUUGAUUCCACUUGAACUCUCAUUAGCUGAUAAAGUAGAAUGAACCAUG
Molecule: long non-coding RNA, 537 nt
Organism: Oncorhynchus masou masou (cherry salmon)
Lineage: Eukaryota; Metazoa; Chordata; Actinopteri; Salmoniformes; Salmonidae
Exons: 2
Source: RefSeq, a predicted model, not a curated record